AACGUAGGACACAAGCGUUAUCCGGAGUUACUGGGCGUAAAGGGCGCGUAGGCGGCCACCGCAAGUCGACUGUGAAAUCUCCGGGCUUAACUCGGAAAGGUCAGCCGAUACUGCGGGGCUAGAGUGCAGAAGGGGCAACUGGAAUUCUCGGUGUAGCGGUGAAAUGCGUAGAUAUCGAGAGGAACACCUGCGGCGAAGGCGGGUUGCUGGGCUGACACUGACGCUGAGGCGCGAAAGCUAGGGGAGCGAACGGG
RNAcentral lists this ribosomal RNA (254 nucleotides) under uncultured bacterium. RNAcentral's name for it is "partial 16S ribosomal RNA". It matches the Rfam family "Bacterial small subunit ribosomal RNA", at positions 524 to 776 of the family's 1533-position model. The record is from RNAcentral.